This 256-nucleotide long non-coding RNA is filed under the name Elaeis guineensis (African oil palm). RNAcentral's name for it is "long non-coding RNA (EGUI_LNC078723)". Lineage: Eukaryota; Viridiplantae; Streptophyta; Magnoliopsida; Arecales; Arecaceae. The record is from RNAcentral.
GGUUGAUCAUUCAAUGUUUGGUUGGGCCUUAGAUAGGGUCGAUAAAAAUUAUGGGCUCUUAAUGUUGCAUCUUGUGACCAUGUAAAAUUGGGAUGACUUUCCAACCCUAGGCUAUAGAUUGGUGCAUAAGGUUCAUUUAUGUAGCUUUCAUUGAAUGCACUCUCCUGUAUGAACUCAGUUUGGGUUGGGUUCAUCAAAUAAGGACACUCCUCCACAACAUGAUCUGGUGCACGCAUCCAAUGCACAUAGGUGCUAG